CGAUGCCUUUCGCGAUGUAGAAGGUCUGCAAGUGGGAGCGGAUAUAAUUAUACGCCCUGUAAUUCCUUUCUAUGAUCACGUCGCGAGUUGUCGCGUGUUCAGGUACUGGGAUCACUGGAACCAAAUUCAUGAAUAGGCUGAAAUAGGGUCUUCUGUGGAGGUAUGUUGGGUGCAGGAAUAAAUGCAGGCUCGAGAUUCUCAUUCACGCUCUUCUUAGGCCUCUUUAGUCUCUUCGGUUUCUGUGGUUGCUGGUCAUUAUAUUGUAAGCCGUCAUCAAAAGGAUACUCUGCGGGCGAUG
This 298-nucleotide long non-coding RNA is filed under the name Eucalyptus grandis. Its description in RNAcentral is "long non-coding RNA (EGRA_LNC000318)". The record is from RNAcentral. Lineage: Eukaryota; Viridiplantae; Streptophyta; Magnoliopsida; Myrtales; Myrtaceae.